This is a long non-coding RNA of Solanum lycopersicum (tomato), 4530 nucleotides long. RefSeq lists it as uncharacterized. Lineage: Eukaryota; Viridiplantae; Streptophyta; Magnoliopsida; Solanales; Solanaceae. The record is from RefSeq and is a predicted model, not a curated record.
UUAUUACUUCUUAUAUUAGAAAAGGCAUAAUCAACAUGCUUGCUUCAAGGUUAUUUUUAAAGGCAUAAUCAACAUGCUUGCUUCAAAGUUAUUUUGGUCUUUACAAUGCUUGCUUCAAGGGUUAUUUUAGUCUUUACAAUUAAAUAUAUGGCUAGCUGUCUUCUCUUUGUUAUUCAAGGGUUAUUUUAGUCUUUACAAUUAAAUAUAUGGCUAGCUAUCUUCUCUUUGUUAUUCAAGGGUUAUUUUAGUCUUUACAAUUAAAUAUAUGGCUAGUUGUCUUCUCUUUGUUAAACAAUUUUGCCUUUUCAUUUUCUCAGCUAACGUGUCUUCUUCUGGUAAAAUGGAAAUGCAUGUCCUCCUCCUCCUAUGUCUUCCUCCUGAUUCUUCAUUUAUAAUGAUUCCCUAUUUGCACAUGGAAAUUACUCUCUUCAUCCUUCUCUUGAGACCCUUUUAAUCCCAAAGGCCUUUCAUGAUUUUUUGAUAAAGUUUUUGCGUGCAGUGUGAAGAUAGGAAUUUGCAAUUACUACUACUGCAGUUUCGGCGCUACAGGAAACUCAAAUACAAGUUAUCAUGCACGGUACUGAUAUCGCACAUUAUGCAAAUGAGUUUGUUCCUUUCCAAACAUAUUUGCUAUCAAGGGCAUUUGUCUCUGAGUCAAUCAAGGCGUAUGGAAUACCUCUUCAUCAAUUCAGCUGGAAAAUUGAUAAGGGCACAAUUGUUGAACCAAUAGAUAAAGUCAUACCCCCUGAAGAACCAUUGCUGCCACCAACGCUGCUAAAAACUACAUCGUUUGACAGUUUCGAUUAUCAAGCUAUAGGCUUUGAAUUCAGUAUUUCUCAAAAUAUAUUUAAAGUAUACUUACCAGACAUAUAAUUCAUUUUUCAUAACUAUUACCACUUACUAAUAACUCUUUAAUUCUUGCAAGACAUUCUUGCCCUCGUGAUAAAUGGUAGUCCUCCAUCAUAUGCCUCAAACGGAAGCAGAAUUCAAGAAUUCAUCAUCAUUGACUAUGAGUAAGUACAAUGUUACUUUUCAUCUUAUAUCCUUCUGUUUUCUAUGUGCUUGUGUCAAAUAACUGGAUUUUUUUAUUAAUGAAUAGUGAUGUCAUCUUCCUUUUCGUCAAAGUUGAAGGUGCAAAUUUGAUCUAGGUGUCUUAUUGACCCUCUUUCUUGGAAAGUAAAUUUUUUAAAAAAAAUUCGCUUCUCUGUGAUUGCAAGCAUCUCAUAUUUGAAUGUUACCUUACCAUGGUAUAUAGCUUGAUCUAAGUAUCUAAGAUUUCACUCAAUUUCGCAAAGUUUUCUGCUGCAUCUACUUCUUCAUUCAUAAUGUUGCCCAAAAGAGAAAAGAAAAAAAUAAAUAAGGAGAAAAAGAUAAGUUGUUUACCACAUAUUGAUAAAAAGUGUCCAAUUAUCGCAUGGAUUGUUCAAAUUUCCUUUACAAAUCACUAACUGGAUGCUAUGGAAUUGGGAAUGGAGGAUGAGGUUGAUCUUCUGAUUUUGAUUUUAUUGUAUAGCUUGAUAUAUCGGAUUUAUCUAAUUGUGGUGCACUUAAACUUGCGGCACAUCUAUUGUUAUUAAUGUUUGAUUAUCCUUCUGAUUGACUGAUUAACUUGAUCAAGAGUGACAAAUAUAAUAUGCCAAGACCCAUAGACAACACUAACCAGCCACUUUAAUGGAAGAAUUAGUCAAUUCUAUUUGAAUGUUACCUUACCAUGGUAUAUAGCUUGAUCUAAGGAUCUAAAAUUUCACUCAAUUUCGCAAAGUUUUCUGCUGCAUCUAUAUCUUCAUUCGUAAUGUUUCCCAAAAGCGAAAAGAAAAAAAUAAAUAAGAGAAAAAUUGGUUACCACAUUUUGAUAAAAAUUUUCCAAUUAUCGCAUGGAUUAUUCUAAUUUCUUUUGCAAAUCAGUAACUGGAUGCUAUGGAAUUGGGAGUGGGGGAUAGGGGUGAUCUUCUGAUUUUGAUUUUAUUGAAUAGCUUGAAAUAUCAGUUUUAUCUAAUUGCGGUGUACUUAAACUUGCAGCACAAGUAUAGUUAUUAAUGUUUCAUUAUCCUUUUGAUUGACUGAUUAAACUUGAUCUUUAGUCAAUUCUAUUUGUGUUUUCUGCUGCAUCUAUUUCUUCAUUCAUAAUGCUUCCCAAAAGCGAAAAGAAAAAAAUAAAUAAGGAGAAAAAGAUAAGUUGGUUACCACAUUUUGAUAAAAAGUUUCAAAUUAUUGCAUGGAUUGUUCUAAUUUUCUUUGCAAAUCAGUAACUGGAUGCUAUGGAAUUGGGAAUGGGGGAUGGGGUUGAUCUUCUGAUUUUGAUUUUAUUGAAUAGCUUGAAAUAUCAGAUUUAUCUAAUUGCAGUGUACUUAAACUUGUAGCACAACUAUAGUUAUUAAUGUUUGAUUAUCCAUUUGAUUGAUUGAUUAAACUUGAUCUAGGUUUGUCAAUAUUAUCAAAUUUGAUUAUGGCGACAUAUUAAUGGUUAACUUGUAAGCUCAUUCUUAUAAGGAAUGUCAUGCACAUUGUUGGUAUUCAAGAGUGACAAAUAUAAUAUGCCAAGACCCAUAGACAACACUAACCAACCACUUUAAUUGAAGAAUUAGCCAAUUCUACAGGUUGCUCUCUAAAAAAAAAGGGAACACCUAGCUAUUUGAACAAUCUAAGUAUGCUUACUAUGUCUUUGUUUAGCCAGAAUUCUUCUUCUACUUAUGACCAAAAGGAAUACCCUUCGAUAAGACAAGGGAUCAUCAACUUCAGGUAAAAAUUUUUUAUUGCUAACAUGUGCCAAUAUCUAGCAGUUUCUGUAUGUAAAUAUCACUUGAGAUGAAUGAAUUACUUUGGCAACAUUUUUAUCUAAUAUGAGUUCAAUAUACUAGCUAUUUGUCUCCCCUCCAUUUUCAGCUUUCACAAGCACCACCAGUUCCACUACCCUCCCCGCUUACCAUCUCCUUUACAUAUUUGGCAUUUUAGAUGUUACUUGAUUACCACUAUUAAUACUAUACCAUUUGUAAGCCUAACUUUAAUGUAAUGUUUAUCAGAAAGAUGUUGCUUUUGAUCUAUGAUAAUUGCGGACCAGAAUAAAAAAGACAAUAUAAAUAAUUAUUAAAGUUGUUGAGUAAUUCUAAUUGCCGGUCAAAAUUCAUCCUAUAAAGUUAAAAAAAACUACAAACCUAAUAACGGAUCUCAUAGUGUUCACCAAGGUCUUGCAAUUUCAGCUUUCUCUUUGAUCCUAAUUGGAAAACAACAGUAGGAAUGUUGCAUCCUACUUUGAUGAUAUUCAUUUUAUUUGUGUAUAUACAACAAUUGUAACACAUUUUUCUUUACUUUCUUUCAUGAACUUUUUCCCAAAUUUGCUUGCAUCUGUGUAAGUUAUGAUCUAUUAUAACACUGUUUAUCUUUUUUUUAAAAUGAAAAUAGGAGGAAACCAACAAAACUCACUCUCUGGGAAGAAUUCAUUGACCUAUAUGGAAAUAAACUUCUCAAACAUCUGAAAGAACUUCAAGAAUUUCCAGUAAUUAUUGCCAGAAAAGUGGCCAAAUCAAAAUCAUCUUCAGAUUUGGUACAAUAAUCCAGAUUGAUCCUCCAUACCCACAAGCUAUCUCAUUAAAGACAUGGUCUGAUGAAAUAAAAUCGAUUCUCAACACAUACACAACAAAAAGCACCACAGCUACAGGCUCUCUCCUGUUUGUGCCAUUUGAAGAACACAUAGUGCCUAUUGUCAACAUCCAGCAACAAUCUUUGGGGCAAGUAUUCCACGUGCAAGCUCAAUUGUUAAUAUCCAAUGAAACUUAAAAAUUCUGUGUCUUAGUCUGCUCUUACUGCAAGCAAGUAUUUCCAAGGAUUUGGACAGAGAGAACAUUCUAUUGUACAACCUGCCGUCGAUCAACACAACUCACACCAAGAUGCCAGUUUGAAGUAACCAUCAAGGAUUAUACUGGUUCAACAACAGCCAUGAUUUCAGAUAAAAUUGGAGAAGAACUAUUGUCUCUAACUGUAGCAGAAAUUCAUGACAUACGCUGCAUCACGUUUUUGAGUGAGUUUCUUCCAUCUUUCAAAAACAACUGUUGUCACUUGUAUCCGUGCAACACAAACUGCUAGGUGAGAAUUCAACGUCCAAAUAAAGAAGUUGUUUGCCAAAAACAAGGACGCAUCUUCAGCAAAACUGUUUAUCAUGUCAAUCAUCGCGAAAGAUGUUGUUAGCAAUCUGCCACUGCCCAUCAACGCACCAACAACUCCAGAAAGCAGUAAACGCAAGCUCAAGCAAAUCAUAAUAAAAAGAAGACUAAAAGUGUAAUACUUUUUUGCAAUAUGGUUGGCAACACCAUUUUGUCUUGAUGGCGUACACUUUUGGUGCUGAUAGCAUGGACUCUGCUGCAUAAUUAUAAGAAAUUGACAGGUGCUUUUUGAAUGAUGCUGACUAAUAGUCAAAAUGCAGCAUUAUGUAAAUAUUGUACAUAUCCAACCUAAAUAACACAGCCAUGACAACGAACAAAACAACCGCCAACCAUAUUUCAUAUAUAUAUAUAAUAUAUCUAUCCAUCUCUCUCU